UCAUGUUGUUUAUGUUGAAUUGUGUUGAUUAUGUGAGAUGGUAUUGACUAUGUUGAUUUUAAUUUUUGUGACCUAAAAUGUGGAGUUUUCCGAAAUGGGUUUCAUCCCAAAUUAUUUUGCUAAAUACUUGUGGGCUUGCUUAGUUAUUAAAAUCAAGAGAAUGAUUUAAUGGAGUUUCUUUAUGUAGAUAGGAAAUGUUUGGUUUUUGGGUGAAAACCCUAGACAUUCAGGGAUUUUUGGAAAAAUGUGGAGGAUGUCCAUACAAUUCUUUUCUAUCUUGAAAUCAAAGUGAUUGAUUAUAAGUUCCAUACUGUGUUUGCAAGAAUGGUAAUCUUCUAUUUAUAGAUAUAUAUUGAGAUGGAGGAAAUUGUAGUAUAAAUGGAUGCUUAAUGGUGGGCUUGUGAAGAAUAAUGAAGGAAAGAAAAAAGAACUAAUGACUAAGUUAUAUAUGUGUACAGGGCACACUUCAGGAGGGACAAGCACUCCGUUGUAGCACUGUAAUCACUUUGGGAGUCCGUCUUAACCCUUGAAGCUCACCCUUCAGUUGUCAACCUCAGUAUGCCCAGGCUCCCAGACCAAGUCUAUGCAUUUAUGUCAAGUUUUGUUAAGAUUUUGGCUUGCACUUUAAUUAUUUACCUAAGGUUAAAAUGUAUGUAUAUGAUCCCUUUCUAUACCAAUGUUUGUUCAUGCGGUCAUGUAUGUGUAU
Camellia sinensis is the source of this 706-nucleotide non-coding RNA. The record is from RefSeq and is a predicted model, not a curated record. NCBI's taxonomy places the organism in Eukaryota, Viridiplantae, Streptophyta, Magnoliopsida, Ericales, Theaceae.